This is a non-coding RNA of Parelaphostrongylus tenuis, 73 nucleotides long. NCBI's taxonomy places the organism in Eukaryota, Metazoa, Nematoda, Chromadorea, Rhabditida, Metastrongylidae. The record is from the annotation of a GenBank genome assembly.
GCGUUGGUGGUGCAACGGUUCAGCACACGCUCCCGAAUAGAGUGAGAUUUGAUUUCAAGUACCAGCUGAUGCA